Molecule: ribosomal RNA, 424 nt
Filed under: uncultured bacterium
Lineage: Bacteria
Description: bacterial SSU rRNA
Rfam family: Bacterial small subunit ribosomal RNA
Source: RNAcentral
GGGGAAUCAUGGUCAAUGGGCGAAAGCCUGAACCUGCGACGCCGCGUGAGUGAUGAAGGUCGUAAGAUCGUAAAACUCUUUUCAGGGACAUUAAAGCUCCGGCUCUAACAUAGCCUGGAGUCUGACUAUCCCUGGAAUAAGCCCCAGCCAACUACGUGCCAGCAGCUGCGGUAAUACGUAGGGGGCGAGCGUUAUUCGGAAUUACUGGGUGUAAAGGGUAUGUAGGCGGCCUGACAAGUCGCGUGUCAAAGUCCAGCGCUCAACGCUGGGUUCGCACGCGAUACUGUCAGGUUUGAGGACUGGAGAGGUGAGCGGAAUUCCCGGUGUAGUGGUAAAAUACGUAGAUAUCGGGAGGAACACCAGCGGCGUAGGCGGCUCACUAGACAGUUUCUGACGCUAAGAUACGAAAGCGUGGGGAGCAAAC